RNAcentral lists this long non-coding RNA (233 nucleotides) under Medicago truncatula (barrel medic). RNAcentral describes it as "long non-coding RNA (MTRU_LNC006811)". Lineage: Eukaryota; Viridiplantae; Streptophyta; Magnoliopsida; Fabales; Fabaceae. The record is from RNAcentral.
UUCAUUGAGGCGGAGAGGAUUCGAUGCCUGAUGGUAGGCUUUUGCAUGUUGGGCCUCUAAGUAAUUGGGCCUAAGAAAUUGGGCCUUAGGUCUUUGACUGGUCCAGAACAUAAGCCCUGAUUGAUGACGAGCAUAAUCGAUGAUAUCGAGACGCUUGGUCAGGACGAUGGAGCACAUGGGACUGUCGUGUUUAGACAAUGAUGCACCUGUGUCGAUGAUGACAUCGGUGAUGA